Molecule: long non-coding RNA, 246 nt
Filed under: Solanum tuberosum (potato)
Lineage: Eukaryota; Viridiplantae; Streptophyta; Magnoliopsida; Solanales; Solanaceae
Description: long non-coding RNA (STUB_LNC005568)
Source: RNAcentral
UGUGGGAUUUAACUUGGGUCGUGGGAGGUCUACUGGCACUAUUAUAAGACCUUCCUCCGGGGGUGCCAUUGGUGCUUCACCAUUUGAGAAUUCUGUUCCUGGAAAAUCAAGAAUCUCGACUGGCAUAUUCAGUUAUCCAAGGGGGAAAACUCUUGACAUAUACCGCAGGCAAAAGCUCGGCUCAUCUCUUUGUAGCAUGCCUGAAAAUAUGGAAGAAGCUCCCCCAGUUACUCAAGUAAUUGCUAU